RNAcentral lists this transfer RNA (94 nucleotides) under Caudoviricetes sp. RNAcentral describes it as "tRNA-OTHER". It matches the Rfam family "tRNA". Rfam says of the family: Transfer RNA (tRNA) molecules are approximately 80 nucleotides in length. Their secondary structure includes four short double-helical elements and three loops (D, anti-codon, and T loops). Further hydrogen bonds mediate the characteristic L-shaped molecular structure. tRNAs have two regions of fundamental functional importance: the anti-codon, which is responsible for specific mRNA codon recognition, and the 3' end, to which the tRNAs corresponding amino acid is attached (by aminoacyl-tRNA synthetases). tRNAs cope with the degeneracy of the genetic code in two manners: having more than one tRNA (with a specific anti-codon) for a particular amino acid; and 'wobble' base-pairing, i.e. permitting non-standard base-pairing at the 3rd anti-codon position. Lineage: Duplodnaviria; Heunggongvirae; Uroviricota; Caudoviricetes. The record is from RNAcentral.
GGUAGUAUAGCUCAGUAGGUAGAGCGCAGAUAUGCAUACGUGAUGAUACAUGUAUGCAGCUCUUUAGUCACAAGUUCGAGUCUUGUUACUACCA